This 177-nucleotide unclassified non-coding RNA is filed under the name uncultured Ascomycota. Its description in RNAcentral is "sequence contains ITS1". The record is from RNAcentral. Lineage: Eukaryota; Fungi; Ascomycota.
ACGAGGUAGGGCCUCCUUCGGGAGCCCGAACUCCCCACCCUUUGCUGUUGCGAACAAGUUGCUUCGGCGGGACCCCCCCGUGGGGGACCGGGCGUCAGCCCGGGCAGCGCCCGCCGGGGGACCAAACCAACUCUUUGUCGAACAAUGUAGUCGGAGUACAAUCGUACAAUCAAAACA